This 274-nucleotide ribosomal RNA is filed under the name Paenibacillus sp. ISO55_OTU53385. RNAcentral's name for it is "partial 16S ribosomal RNA". It matches the Rfam family "Bacterial small subunit ribosomal RNA", at positions 29 to 289 of the family's 1533-position model. Lineage: Bacteria; Bacillati; Bacillota; Bacilli; Caryophanales; Paenibacillaceae. The record is from RNAcentral.
ACGAACGCUGGCGGCAUGCCUAAUACAUGCAAGUCGAGCGGACUUGAAGAGAAGCUUGCUUCUCUGAUGGUUAGCGGCGGACGGGUGAGUAACACGUAGGCAACCUGCCCUCAAGUUUGGGACAACUACCGGAAACGGUAGCUAAUACCGAAUAGUUGUUUUCUUCUCCUGAAGGAAACUGGAAAGACGGAGCAAUCUGUCACUUGGGGAUGGGCCUGCGGCGCAUUAGCUAGUUGGUGGGGUAACGGCUCACCAAGGCGACGAUGCGUAGCCG